UGGAUAUGAUGACUGAUUACCUGAGAAAUCAUUGAUGAAAUCUCAAGAAAAUUCCUCUAGAUAGUCAAGUUCUGAUCCAG
RNAcentral lists this small nucleolar RNA (80 nucleotides) under Nannospalax galili (Upper Galilee mountains blind mole rat). RNAcentral describes it as "Small nucleolar RNA SNORD20 (ENSNGAG00000002918.1)". It matches the Rfam family "Small nucleolar RNA SNORD20". From Rfam's summary of the family: U20 is a C/D box small nucleolar RNA that is encoded in intron 11 of the nucleolin gene in human, mouse and rat. The record is from Rfam by way of RNAcentral. Lineage: Eukaryota; Metazoa; Chordata; Mammalia; Rodentia; Spalacidae.